GGGGCUGUCGCGCAGUCGGUAGCGCGUCUCGUUCGCGAUGAGAAGGUCAGGGGUCCGAAGCCCCUCGGCUCCA
Molecule: transfer RNA, 73 nt
Filed under: Cellulomonas iranensis
Lineage: Bacteria; Bacillati; Actinomycetota; Actinomycetes; Micrococcales; Cellulomonadaceae
Also listed under: 1 other name
Description: tRNA-Ala
Rfam family: tRNA
About the family: Transfer RNA (tRNA) molecules are approximately 80 nucleotides in length. Their secondary structure includes four short double-helical elements and three loops (D, anti-codon, and T loops).
Source: RNAcentral